RNAcentral lists this ribosomal RNA (440 nucleotides) under uncultured bacterium. RNAcentral's name for it is "partial 16S ribosomal RNA". It matches the Rfam family "Bacterial small subunit ribosomal RNA", at positions 338 to 795 of the family's 1533-position model. The record is from RNAcentral.
CCUACGGGAGGCUGCAGUGGGGAAUAUUGCACAAUGGGGGAAACCCUGAUGCCGCGACGCCGCGUGAGUGAAGAAGUAAUUCGUUAUGUAAAGCUCUAUCAGCAGGGAAGCAAAUGACGGUACCUGAGUAAGAAGCCCCGGCUAUCUACGUGCCAGCAGCCGCGGUAAUACGUCGGGGGCAAGCGUUAUCCGGAUUUACUGGGUGUAAAGGGAGCGUAGACGGCAGUGCAAGUCUGGAGUGAAAGGCGGGGGCUCAACCCCCGGACUGCUCUGGAAACUGUACGGCUGGAGUGCAGGAGAGGGAAGUGGAAUGCGUAGUGUAGCGGUGAAAUGCGUAGAUAUUAGGAGGAACACCAGUGGCGAAGGCAGCUUACUGGACUGUAACUGACGUUGAGGCUCGAAAGCGUGGGGAGCGAACAGGAUUAGAUACCCUGGUAGUC